CCCUUCGAUGUUCGGAGCUGCACGCGCGCUACACUGUGGGUGGCAGCAUGUUAGCUUGCCUCGCUCGCAAGAGUGGGGUAAUCGUUUGAAAAUCCCACGUGAUUGGGAUAGGGACUUGUAAUUAUUUCCCUUGAACGAGGAAUCCCUAGUAAGUGCAGGUCAUCAGCUUGCGCUGAUUACGUCCCUGCCCUUUGUACACACCGCCCGUCGCACCUACCGAUUGAAUGGUCCGGUGAAGCCUCCGGAUUGGCGCGCACCUCGGUGCCGCCGAGAAGUUGGCUAAACCUUACCAUUUAGAGGAAGGUGAANUCGUANCA
This 317-nucleotide ribosomal RNA is filed under the name uncultured eukaryote. RNAcentral's name for it is "partial 18S ribosomal RNA". It matches the Rfam family "Eukaryotic small subunit ribosomal RNA", at positions 1470 to 1796 of the family's 1831-position model. The record is from RNAcentral.